Triticum aestivum (bread wheat) is the source of this 123-nucleotide non-coding RNA. The record is from Rfam. NCBI's taxonomy places the organism in Eukaryota, Viridiplantae, Streptophyta, Magnoliopsida, Poales, Poaceae.
AAGGUACUCCCUCCGUCCGGAAAUAUUUGUUCCAAAAAUGCUAGAAUAGAUGUAUCUAUAACUAAAAUAAAUCUAGAUACAACCAUUUUAAGGACAAGUAUCUCUGGACGAAGGGAGUACGUA